UAGAGUUGUAAAACUCCCAAACCCAUGUGAACAUACCUCUGUUGCCUCGGUGGCCUACCCGGUAUCUACCCUGUAGCUACCCUGUAGUCCGCCGAUGGACCUUUAAACUCUUGUUUUUAUGUAUCUCUGAGAAUACUUUUAAAUAAGUCA
RNAcentral lists this unclassified non-coding RNA (150 nucleotides) under uncultured fungus. RNAcentral's name for it is "sequence contains ITS1, 5.8S rRNA gene". Lineage: Eukaryota; Fungi. The record is from RNAcentral.